CGCGGGGUGGAGCAGCUUGGUAGCUCGUUGGGCUCAUAACCCAAAGGCCGCAGGUUCGAAUCCUGCCCCCGCUACCA
This 77-nucleotide transfer RNA is filed under the name Candidatus Latescibacteria bacterium 4484_107. Its description in RNAcentral is "tRNA-Met". It matches the Rfam family "tRNA". From Rfam's summary of the family: Transfer RNA (tRNA) molecules are approximately 80 nucleotides in length. Their secondary structure includes four short double-helical elements and three loops (D, anti-codon, and T loops). Lineage: Bacteria; Pseudomonadati; Candidatus Latescibacterota. The record is from RNAcentral. RNAcentral also lists the same sequence under 2 other names.